CUCCUUUUUAGCCUUGUCCUUCAUGACUUUGAGUAUUUCGAUGUUAGCUUUGUGCUUCCUCACCUCCGCCAAAACCUCACGAUAGUGCUCCAUAUACCCAUUCAGAAAAUGGGCGAGCUAUUGAAGAAAGAAAGCCUUUUAGCAAUAAUAUCAUAAGCAUAUGCUUAGAAUAAAUAAAACAUCGUAGGAGCUUCAGCUUACCUGGAUGAAGCACUCCAUAGCUUUUUUCCUUAUUGCCCCACAUGAUGAGGCCAGCUACUUUUUUGUGUCGGUCGGAAGGAGC
This 283-nucleotide long non-coding RNA is filed under the name Elaeis guineensis (African oil palm). Its description in RNAcentral is "long non-coding RNA (EGUI_LNC005050)". The record is from RNAcentral. Lineage: Eukaryota; Viridiplantae; Streptophyta; Magnoliopsida; Arecales; Arecaceae.